This 511-nucleotide ribosomal RNA is filed under the name uncultured bacterium. Its description in RNAcentral is "partial 16S ribosomal RNA". It matches the Rfam family "Bacterial small subunit ribosomal RNA", at positions 29 to 507 of the family's 1533-position model. The record is from RNAcentral.
AUGAACGCUGGCGGCGUGCCUAAUACCUGCAAGUCGAACGAAACUUCUUUAUCACCGAGUGCUUGCACUCACCGAUAAAGAGUUGAGUGGCGAACGGGUGAGUAACACGUGGGCAACCUGCCCAAAAGAGGGGGAUGACACUUGGAAACAGGUGCUAAUACCGCAUAACCAUAGUUACCGCAUGGUAACUAUGUAAAAGGUGGCUAUACUACCGCUUUUGGAUGGGCCCGCGGCGCAUUAGCUAGUUGGUAGGGUAAAGGCUUACCAAGGCAAUGAUGCGUAGCCGAAUUGAGAGGUUGAUCGGCCACAUUGGGACUGAGACACGGCCCAAACUCCUACGGGAGGCAGCAGUAGGGAAUCUUCCACAAUGGGCGAAAGCCUGAUGGAGCAACGCCGCGUGGGUGAAGAAGGUCUUCGGAUCGUAAAACCCUGUUGUUAGAGAAGAAAGUGCGUGAGAGUAACUGUUCACGUUUCGACGGUAUCUAACCAGAAAGCCACUGCUAACUACGUG